CAGCAGCCGCGGGAAUACGUAGGGUGCAAGCGUUAAUCAGAAUUACUGGGCGUAAAGCGUGCGCAGGCGGUUUGUUAAGACGGAUGUGAAAUCCCCGGGCUCAACCUGGGAACUGCAUUCGUGACUGGCAAGCUAGAGUAUGGCAGAGGGGGGUGGAAUUCCACGUGUAGCAGUGAAAUGCGUAGAGAUGUGGAGGAACACCGAUGGCGAAGGCAGCCCCCUGGGCCAAUACUGACGCUCAUGCACGAAAGCGUGGGGAGCAAACAGGAUUAGAUACCCCUGUAGUCCCUGUCUCUUAUAC
Molecule: ribosomal RNA, 301 nt
Filed under: uncultured bacterium
Lineage: Bacteria
Description: partial 16S ribosomal RNA
Rfam family: Bacterial small subunit ribosomal RNA
Source: RNAcentral